GAGACAGCAGUCGCCACGGGAAUACAGAGGGUGCGAGCGUUAAUCGGAUUUACUGGGCGUAAAGCGUGCGUAGGCGGCUUCUUAAGUCGGAUGUGAAAUCCCUGAGCUUAACUUAGGAAUUGCAUUCGAUACUGGGAAGCUAGAGUAUGGGAGAGGAUGGUAGAAUUCCAGGUGUAGCGGUGAAAUGCGUAGAGAUCUGGAGGAAUACCGAUGGCGAAGGCAGCCAUCUGGCCUAAUACUGACGCUGAGGUACGAAAGCAUGGGGAGCAAACAGGAUUAGAUACCCCCGUAGUCCCUGUCUCUUAUAC
This 308-nucleotide ribosomal RNA is filed under the name uncultured bacterium. Its description in RNAcentral is "partial 16S ribosomal RNA". It matches the Rfam family "Bacterial small subunit ribosomal RNA", at positions 505 to 807 of the family's 1533-position model. The record is from RNAcentral.